CCCGCUGAACUUAAGCAUAUCAAUAAGCGGAGGAAAAGAAACCAACAGGGAUUGCCCUAGUAACGGCGAGUGAAGCGGCAAAAGCUCAGAUUUGAAAUCUGGCGUCAUCUUUUGGCGUCCGAGUUGUAGUCUGUAGAGGUGUAUUCGAGUGUGGCUUUGGCUUAAGUUCCUUGGAACAGGACGUCAUAGAGGGUGAGAACCCCGUUUACGGCCUUUGUCUUAUGCUCAUGUGAAUCUCCUUCAACGAGUCGAGUUGUUUGGGAAUGCAGCUCUAAAUGGGUGGUAAAUUCCAUCUAAAGCUAAAUACUGGCAAGAGACCGAUAGCGCACAAGUAGAGUGAUCGAAAGAUGAAAAGAACUCUGAACAGAGAGUUAAAUAGUACGUGAAAUUGUUGAAAGGGAAGCACUUCCGACCAGACGCACUUGCAGCCGAUCAAUUCUCAUUCUUGGGAGUGCACUCGGUUGUCUGUGGGUCAGCAUCAGUUCGGGCGGUCGGAUAAAGGCUUUGGGAAUGUAGCUCCUCUCGGGGAGUGUUAUAGCCCGUUGCGAAAUGCGGCCAGCCUGGACCGAGGUCCGCGCUUCGGCUAGGAUGCUGGCGUAAUGGUUGUAAGCGGCCCGUCUUGAAACACGG
RNAcentral lists this ribosomal RNA (630 nucleotides) under uncultured fungus. RNAcentral's name for it is "eukaryotic LSU rRNA". It matches the Rfam family "Eukaryotic large subunit ribosomal RNA", at positions 24 to 664 of the family's 3401-position model. The record is from RNAcentral. Lineage: Eukaryota; Fungi.